This 70-nucleotide transfer RNA is filed under the name Hexanchus griseus. RNAcentral describes it as "tRNA-Phe". It matches the Rfam family "tRNA". From Rfam's summary of the family: Transfer RNA (tRNA) molecules are approximately 80 nucleotides in length. Their secondary structure includes four short double-helical elements and three loops (D, anti-codon, and T loops). Further hydrogen bonds mediate the characteristic L-shaped molecular structure. tRNAs have two regions of fundamental functional importance: the anti-codon, which is responsible for specific mRNA codon recognition, and the 3' end, to which the tRNAs corresponding amino acid is attached (by aminoacyl-tRNA synthetases). tRNAs cope with the degeneracy of the genetic code in two manners: having more than one tRNA (with a specific anti-codon) for a particular amino acid; and 'wobble' base-pairing, i.e. permitting non-standard base-pairing at the 3rd anti-codon position. The record is from RNAcentral. Lineage: Eukaryota; Metazoa; Chordata; Chondrichthyes; Hexanchiformes; Hexanchidae.
GCUAGUGUAGCUUAAUUUAAAGUAUAGCACUGAAGAUGCUAAGAUUGAAAAGUGAAAAUUUCCACAAGCA